This 253-nucleotide ribosomal RNA is filed under the name uncultured bacterium. RNAcentral describes it as "partial 16S ribosomal RNA". It matches the Rfam family "Bacterial small subunit ribosomal RNA", at positions 524 to 776 of the family's 1533-position model. The record is from RNAcentral.
UACGGAAGGGGCAAGCGUUGUUCGGAAUCAUUGGGCGUAAAGGGCGUGUAGGUGGUCCUGUAUGUCUACCGUGAAAGCGUACGGCUCAACCGUAUUUAGUCGGUAGAAACUGCAGGACUUGAGGCUGGGAGGGGCUGGUGGAAUUCCCUGUGUAGCGGUGAAAUGCGUAGAGAUGGGGGAGAACACUCGUGGCGAAGGCGGCCAGCUAGACCAGUUCUGACACUGAGGCGCGACAGCGUGGGGAGCAAACAGG